This 535-nucleotide long non-coding RNA is filed under the name Medicago truncatula (barrel medic). Its description in RNAcentral is "long non-coding RNA (MTRU_LNC005834)". The record is from RNAcentral. Lineage: Eukaryota; Viridiplantae; Streptophyta; Magnoliopsida; Fabales; Fabaceae.
AGCACCAAGCAAUAGUUAUUACUACUUUUUUUUUUUUUCCUUCAUAUCUUUGCUAACAAAAUCUUGUGUGCUGCAAAGUUUCUUAGUUUGAAUUUGGCUUGAAAUGUUUUAAUUCUUGUUCCUUUCUUGGAAAAUUCCAAGAUAUUUUGAUUGGUUUUGGCUUAACACAUAAACAAAUAAGUUGUUUAUAAUAGGAUAAGAUGUACUUAUAUUUUUGCCAAUUUGAAACUGUUUUAGGGUGAAUCAACAUGAACAAUGGUAGAAACAAGCAUGAUCAAGAGUCUAGUGAGAGAGGUCUGUUUUCACAUAUAACAGGCUAUCCAGCAGCACCACCUGCUUCUUACUCCUAUCCACCUCAAGGAGGUUAUUAUCCGCCACCACAAACUGCAUAUCCACCUCAAGGAGGUUAUUAUCCUUCACAGUAUCCACCACAUGCAGCCGGAGGAGGGUAUCCACCUUCCGGUUAUCCUCAUUCCGGAUAUCAUCAUCAACCAUCUUAUCAUGCUCCACAAUAUGGCUAUCCAUAUCCUUCAGG